Molecule: ribosomal RNA, 175 nt
Filed under: uncultured bacterium
Lineage: Bacteria
Description: partial 16S ribosomal RNA
Rfam family: Bacterial small subunit ribosomal RNA
Source: RNAcentral
ACUCCUACGGGAGGCAGCAGUGGGGAAUUUUCCGCAAUGGGCGAAAGCCUGACGGAGCAAUACCGCGUGAGGGAGGAAGGCUCUUGGGUCGUAAACCUCUUUUCUCAGGGAAGAAUACAAUGACGGUACCUGAGGAAUAAGCAUCGGCUAACUCCGUGCCAGCAGCCGCGGUAAU